Molecule: ribosomal RNA, 915 nt
Filed under: uncultured bacterium
Lineage: Bacteria
Description: bacterial SSU rRNA
Rfam family: Bacterial small subunit ribosomal RNA
Source: RNAcentral
AGAGUUUGAUCAUGGCUCAGGACGAACGCUGGCGGCGUGCCUAACACAUGCAAGUCGAGCGAAGCACCUAGGACAGAUUCCUUCGGGAUGACGUUGUAGGUGACUUAGCGGCGGACGGGUGAGUAACGCGUGAGGAACCUGCCUUCCACAAGGGGAUAGCCUCGGGAAACCGGGAUUAAUACCCUAUGACACUUAAGGGCCGCAUGGUCCUUAGGUUAAAGCGCUUUAGCGGUGGAAGAUGGCCUCGCGUCCCAUUAGCUAGUUGGUGAGGUAAAGGCUCACCAAGGCGACGAUGGGUAGCCGGCCUGAGAGGGUGGACGGCCACACUGGGACUGAGACACGGCCCAGACUCCUACGGGAGGCAGCAGUGGGGAAUAUUGCACAAUGGGCGAAAGCCUGAUGCAGCGACGCCGCGUGAGCGAUGAAGGCCUUCGGGUCGUAAAGCUCUGUCCUAUGGGACGAUAGUGACGGUACCAUAGGAGGAAGCCCCGGCUAACUACGUGCCAGCAGCCGCGGUAAUACGUAGGUGGCAAGCGUUAUCCGGAAUUAUUGGGCGUAAAGCGCGCGUAGGCGGUUUCUUAAGUCUGAUGUGAAAGCCCACGGCUCAACCGUGGAGGGUCAUUGGAAACUGGGAAACUUGAGUACAGAAGAGGAAAGUGGAAUUCCAUGUGUAGCGGUGAAAUGCGCAGAGAUAUGGAGGAACACCAGUGGCGAAGGCGACUUUCUGGUCUGUAACUGACGCUGAUGUGCGAAAGCGUGGGGAUCAAACAGGAUUAGAUACCCUGGUAGUCCACGCCGUAAACGAUGAGUGCUAAGUGUUAGGGGGGUUUCCGCCCCUUAGUGCUGCAGCUAACGCAUUAAGCACUCCGCCUGGGGGAGUACGGACCGCAGGGUUGAAACUCAAUGAAUUGACGG